GUGAAUCAUCGAAUCUUUGAACGCAAAUUGCGCCUUUUUCGAUAGUCAUGUGUGUUUGAGGGCACCAUUUAACAAAUAAUGUGCAGCUGUUUUUUUUGCACACGUUAGUGAGCGUUUCAAGAAUUUUAAAUUUUUGGUUGCGCAUAAUGAACAGCUUGAAGCUUUUUUUUCAGUUCUUGUUGAGUAAAAUCUUGGUAUGGAUUGUGACUAGAGU
This 214-nucleotide unclassified non-coding RNA is filed under the name Paraglomus occultum. RNAcentral describes it as "partial internal transcribed spacer 2". The record is from RNAcentral. Lineage: Eukaryota; Fungi; Glomeromycota; Glomeromycetes; Paraglomerales; Paraglomeraceae.